This 168-nucleotide ribosomal RNA is filed under the name uncultured Nitrobacter sp. RNAcentral's name for it is "partial 16S ribosomal RNA". It matches the Rfam family "Bacterial small subunit ribosomal RNA", at positions 337 to 522 of the family's 1533-position model. RNAcentral also lists the same sequence under 1 other name. The record is from RNAcentral. Lineage: Bacteria; Pseudomonadati; Pseudomonadota; Alphaproteobacteria; Hyphomicrobiales; Nitrobacteraceae.
UCCUACGGGAGGCAGCAGUGGGGAAUAUUGGACAAUGGGCGCAAGCCUGAUCCAGCCAUGCCGCGUGAGUGAUGAAGGCCCUAGGGUUGUAAAGCUCUUUUGUGCGGGAAGAUAAUGACGGUACCGCAAGAAUAAGCCCCGGCUAACUUCGUGCCAGCAGCCGCGGUA